This 2501-nucleotide ribosomal RNA is filed under the name Clostridioides difficile T3. Its description in RNAcentral is "bacterial LSU rRNA". It matches the Rfam family "Bacterial large subunit ribosomal RNA", at positions 401 to 2925 of the family's 2925-position model. The record is from RNAcentral. Lineage: Bacteria; Bacillati; Bacillota; Clostridia; Peptostreptococcales; Peptostreptococcaceae.
UAUGAUCCAGAGUACCACGGGACACGUGAAACCCUGUGGGAAGCAGGAGGGACCACCCUCCAAGGCUAAAUACUACCUAGUGACCGAUAGCGUAUAGUACCGUGAGGGAAAGGUGAAAAGAACCCCGGGAGGGGAGUGAAAUAGAACCUGAAACCCUGCACUUACAAGCUGUGGAAGCACAUUUCUUGUGUGACCGCGUACUUUUUGUAGAACGGGCCAACGAGUUACGUUAAGUAGCAAGGUUAAGCACUUAAGGUGCGGAGCCGUAGCGAAAGCGAGUUUUAACUGAGCGUUCAGUUACUUGACGUAGACCCGAAACCGGGCGACCUACCCAUGAGCAGGAUGAAGCGAAAGUAAAAUUUCGUGGAGGUCCGAACCCACGAGCGUUGAAAAGCUCGGGGAUGACUUGUGGGUAGCGGUGAAAUUCCAAUCGAGCCCGGAGAUAGCUGGUUCUCCCCGAAAUAGCUUUAGGGCUAGCCUCAAGGUGAGAGAUACGGAGGUAGAGCACUGAAUGUCCUAGGGGGUAUUGCACCUACCGAAGACUAUCAAACUCCGAAUGCCGUCAUCUUAUACUUGGGAGUCAGACUGUGGGUGAUAAGAUUCAUAGUCGAAAGGGCAACAGCCCAGAUCGUCAGCUAAGGUCCCUAAAUGUAAGUUAAGUGGUAAAGGAUGUGGGAUUGCACAGACAACCAGGAUGUUGGCUUAGAAGCAGCCACUCAUUCAAAGAGUGCGUAAUAGCUCACUGGUCGAGUGAUCCUGCGCCGAAGAUUUCCGGGGCUAAAACUUACUACCGAAGCUACGGCAUCAGUAAUGAUGGGUAGGGGAGCUUCCCAUACGGGUUGAAGCAUGACCGUAAGGACAUGUGGACAGUAUGGGAGUGAGAAUGUUGGCAUGAGUAGCGAGAUGUGGGUGAGAAUCCCACAGGCCGUAAACCCAAGGUUUCCAGGGGAAGGUUCGUCCGCCCUGGGUUAGUCGGGACCUAAGCUGAGGCCGAAAGGCGUAGGUGAUGGACAACAGGUUGAUAUUCCUGUACUACCGAUAACCGUUUGAGAGAAGGGAUGACACAGUAGGAUAAGCUAAGCACACUGUUGGUUAUGUGUGCCCAAGCAUUGAGGCAGUCAAAGUAGGCAAAUCCGCUUUGAUAAUGCUGGGAUGUGAUGGGGAGCGAAAUUUAGUAGCGAAGUAGCUGAUUUCACACUGUCAAGAAAAGUCUCUAUCGAGGUUAAAGGUACCCGUACCGCAAACCGACACAGGUGGGUGAGGAGAGUAUCCUAAGGCCAGCGAGAGAACUGUUGUUAAGGAACUCGGCAAAAUGACCCCGUAACUUAGGGAUAAGGGGUGCCACCAUCAGGUGGCCGCAGAGAAUAGGCCCAAGCGACUGUUUACCAAAAACAUAGGUUUCUGCUAAGUCGCAAGACGAUGUAUAGGAGCUGACGCCUGCCCGGUGCUGGAAGGUUAAGGGGAUCUGUUAGAGCAAUCGAAGCAGUGAACUUAAGCCCCAGUAAACGGCGGCCGUAACUAUAACGGUCCUAAGGUAGCGAAAUUCCUUGUCGGGUAAGUUCCGACCCGCACGAAAGGCGUAACGAUUUGGGCACUGUCUCAACAACAGACUCGGUGAAAUUGUAAUUCCGGUGAAGAUGCCGGAUACCUGCGACAGGACGGAAAGACCCCAUGGAGCUUUACUGUAGCUUGACAUUGGGUCUUGGUACUACAUGUACAGGAUAGGUGGGAGGCUUUGAAACCAGGACGCCAGUUUUGGCGGAGCCAUCCUUGGGAUACCACCCUUGUAGUACUGGGACUCUAACCAUAGGCCAUGAAUCUGGUCUUGGGACACUGUCAGGUGGGCAGUUUGACUGGGGCGGUCGCCUCCCAAAAGGUAACGGAGGCGCUCAAAGGUUCUCUCAGUACGGUCGGAAAUCGUACGUAGAGUGUAAAGGCAAAAGAGAGCUUGAUUGCAAGACAUACAGGUCGAGCAAGGAUGAAAAUCGGACUUAGUGAUCCGGUGGUUCUGCGUGGAAGGGCCAUCGCUCAACGGAUAAAAGCUACCCUGGGGAUAACAGGCUUAUCUCCCCCAAGAGUCCACAUCGACGGGGAGGUUUGGCACCUCGAUGUCGGCUCAUCACAUCCUGGGGCUGUAGUAGGUCCCAAGGGUUGGGCUGUUCGCCCAUUAAAGUGGUACGCGAGCUGGGUUCAGAACGUCGUGAGACAGUUCGGUCCCUAUCCGUCGCAGGCGUAGGAAAUUUGAGAAGACCUGUCCUUAGUACGAGAGGACCGGGAUGGACGUACCUCUGGUGUACCAGUUGUCCUGCCAAGGGCAUGGCUGGGUAGCUAUGUACGGAAUGGAUAAGCGCUGAAAGCAUCUAAGCGCGAAGCCAACUUCAAGAUAAGAUUUCCCACCGCAAGGGUAAGACCCCAGAAAGACUAUCUGGUUGAUAGGUCGAAGGUGUAAGUGCAGCAAUGUAUUUAGCUUAUCGAUACUAAUAGGUCCAGGACUUGACCAA